UACGUAGGGUGCGAGCGUUGUUCGGAAUUACUGGGCGUAAAGGGCGCGUAGGCGGGUUUGCAAGUCGUUUGUGAAAUCCCCGGGCUUAACCUGGGAAUGGCAGGCGAAACUGCAGAUCUUGAAUGCUUGAGAGGUUGGCGGAAUUGCAGGUGUAGAAGUGAAAUUCGUAGAUAUCUGCAAGAACACCGGAGGCGAAGGCGGCUGACUGGCAAGACAUUGACGCUAAGGCGCGAAAGCGUGGGGAUCAAACAGG
This 253-nucleotide ribosomal RNA is filed under the name uncultured bacterium. Its description in RNAcentral is "partial 16S ribosomal RNA". It matches the Rfam family "Bacterial small subunit ribosomal RNA", at positions 524 to 776 of the family's 1533-position model. The record is from RNAcentral.